RNAcentral lists this unclassified non-coding RNA (284 nucleotides) under Hevea brasiliensis (rubber tree). Lineage: Eukaryota; Viridiplantae; Streptophyta; Magnoliopsida; Malpighiales; Euphorbiaceae. The record is from RNAcentral.
GUCACAAACCUUUCAAUGGAUGUCUCUGCCGGCAGCCCUGUAGGCGAGUUCCAGGCGGCAUGCAUAACGCACAGCUCUUGAACAUUGGAGCAGAAGCCGACUGUGAUCUUGUUGAGAUCACCCCUGAGGACCGAUCCGCUCCAAACUGACGCUCCAUCGCAGACCGUAACCUGACCCGCUAGGACGACAUUGGGUGCGACAUAGGCCUCGACGGCGACCUUGGGAAUCCACUGACCCAACGGGAUUAUCUGCCUUUGACCUCGAUAGUCCCACUUGACUCGAUC